RNAcentral lists this ribosomal RNA (481 nucleotides) under uncultured bacterium. Its description in RNAcentral is "bacterial SSU rRNA". It matches the Rfam family "Bacterial small subunit ribosomal RNA", at positions 28 to 526 of the family's 1533-position model. The record is from RNAcentral.
GAUGAACGCUGACAGAAUGCUUAACACAUGCAAGUCUAUGAGAAGAUCUACUUCGGUAGAAGGUAUCAUGGCGGACGGGUGAGUAACGCGUAAAGAACUUGCCUCUUAGACUGGGAUAACAGAUGGAAACGUCUGAUAAGACUAGAUAUAAUAGCGACAUGGCAUCAUGUUGUUAUGAAAGGUAACACUAAGAGAGAGCUUUGCGUCCUAUUAGUUAGUUGGUGAGGUAAUGGCUCACCAAGACGAUGAUAGGUAGCCGGCCUGAGAGGGUGAACGGCCACAAGGGGACUGAGAUACGGCCCUUACUCUUACGGGAGGCAGCAGUGGGGAAUAUUGGACAAUGGAGGAAACUCUGAUCCAGCAAUUCUGUGUGCACGAUGAAGGUUUUCGGAUCGUAAAGUGCUUUCAGUAGGGAAGAAGAAAGUGACGGUACCUACAGAAGAAGCGACGGCUAAAUACGUGCCAGCAGCCGCGGUAAAAU